Long non-coding RNA from Papio anubis (olive baboon), 1555 nucleotides. The record is from Ensembl. NCBI's taxonomy places the organism in Eukaryota, Metazoa, Chordata, Mammalia, Primates, Cercopithecidae.
GUGACCUGGCUUAACCUCAUCCUGAUUGAUAGAGAGCUAUUGGGGAGGACAACCACUGGGCUUCUGACAUGACCGGCGGGAAGCCUGAACCCUCUGGAUGGUCAUCUCGCCACCACACGGGAAGGAAGUUUGCCUGAAUAAAGCCGACAUAGAAGGAGGCAAGAAGCUUCCUGAGGCCUCACCAGGAGCAAAUGCCAGCACCAUGCUUCUUGCACAACCUGCAGAACCAGAAACCAAAAUAAACUUUUCUUUACAAAUUACCCAGCCUCACAAAUUCCUUCAUAGCAAUGCAAACUGACUAACACAGGCCAGGUGCAGGGGCUCACACCUGUAAUCCCAGCACUUGGGAGGCCAAGGUGGGUGGAUUACCUGAGGUCAGGAGUUUGAGACCAGCCUGGCCAACAUGGCGAAAACCCAUCUCUACUAAAAAUACAAAAAGUAGCUGGGCAUGGUGGUGUAUGCCUGUAGUUUCAGCUACUUGGGAGGCUGAAGCAGGAGAAUCGCGUGAACCUAGGAGGCAGAGGUUGCAGUGAGCCGAGAUCACACCACUGUACCCCAGCCUGGCUGACAGAGUGAGAUUCCAUUUCAAAAAACAAACAAACAAAUAAACACUGACUAACACGGGCAUACCCUUGAUUUUGUCAUAUCUCUGAAUGAAGGUUUGCCAGACAGACCUUCUAGCAGGAAUUUCAGUUUCCUGAGAACAGGGUCUUUCUUGGAUUUGUUUACAGUUAUGUCUUCAUUUGAUAAAUAUUCACUACAUGAGUUAAUUGGAGGCUGGGUGCUGUGGCUCAUGCUUCUAAUUCCAGUUCUUUGGAAGGCGGAGGUGGGAGGAUCCCUUGAGCUCAGGAGUUCAAGACCAGCCUGGGCAACACAGUAAGACUUUCUACAGAAAUUUUUAAAAAUUAGCCAGGCCUGGUGGUGUGUACCUGUAGUCCCAGCUACCUGGGGAGCUAAGGCAGAAGGAUAGCUUGAGAACAGAAGUUCGAGGGUGCAGUGAGCCGUGAUUGCACCAGUGCACUUCACCUGGAGUGAUUCUGUCUCAAAAAGAAAAAAAAAAAAGUUAAUGAGAGACUGAGGCAGACAUGGUACAAGACCCCCCAUUCCCAUAGACUGCCUUUGCAUUUAUUUCUGAAUGAGUUUUGGGAAGGGGAUGACCUCUUUCUGCUGUAUCUCUAGGAGCUAGGUGAGGGUUCCAGGGAUAAGCAAAAGGUGUCCCAGCAUCUUGGCAUAUAUUUCCAGACACUCUCCCCUCAGUUGCUCAUCAGAGGCGCCCUCUGAGAGAUUUCCAGAAAACUUAUGGAGAGUCAAGCAUUUGCUUAUCUUUGGGAGGCAUAUACAUUCCCCUUUGCUGUCUCUGAAGGUUGUUAUCUGAAAACUGUCUAGACUUUAGAUUCAAGCUGGGCAGGAGAAGGGCAAUGAAAUACUUCUCCACUUGGGGGUGGGGCUGGACGCGAUGAAAUAUUUCCACUGCUGACCUGUGGGGCUGACUCCCUGCACAGUCAGCUCGAGGCCCCACAACUCGGGGCAUGGGGUUUGUCAGUGUCUCAGUGCC